GUCUAUAGCCAUGCCACCCUGAACAAGCCUGAUCUCGUCUGAUCUUGGAAGCUAAGCAGGGUUGGGCCUGGUUAGUACUUGGAUGGGAGACCACCUAGGAAGACCAGGUGCUAUAGGUG
RNAcentral lists this ribosomal RNA (119 nucleotides) under Pteropus alecto (black flying fox). The record is from RNAcentral. Lineage: Eukaryota; Metazoa; Chordata; Mammalia; Chiroptera; Pteropodidae.